RNAcentral lists this ribosomal RNA (2907 nucleotides) under Enterobacter cloacae subsp. cloacae ATCC 13047. RNAcentral's name for it is "bacterial LSU rRNA". It matches the Rfam family "Bacterial large subunit ribosomal RNA". The record is from RNAcentral. Lineage: Bacteria; Pseudomonadati; Pseudomonadota; Gammaproteobacteria; Enterobacterales; Enterobacteriaceae.
UGAGGUUAAGCGACUAAGCGUACACGGUGGAUGCCCUGGCAGUCAGAGGCGAUGAAGGACGUGCUAAUCUGCGAAAAGCGCCGGCGAGGUGAUAUGAACCCUUGACCCGGCGAUGUCCGAAUGGGGAAACCCAGUGCAAUCCGUUGCACUAUCGUUAACUGAAUACAUAGGUUAACGAGGCGAACCGGGGGAACUGAAACAUCUAAGUACCCCGAGGAAAAGAAAUCAACCGAGAUUCCCCCAGUAGCGGCGAGCGAACGGGGAGCAGCCCAGAGUCUGAAUCAGCUUGUGUGUUAGUGGAAGCGUCUGGAAAGUCGCACGGUACAGGGUGAAAGUCCCGUACACGAAAGCACACAGGCUGUGAACUCGAAGAGUAGGGCGGGACACGUGGUAUCCUGUCUGAAUAUGGGGGGACCAUCCUCCAAGGCUAAAUACUCCUGACUGACCGAUAGUGAACCAGUACCGUGAGGGAAAGGCGAAAAGAACCCCGGCGAGGGGAGUGAAAAAGAACCUGAAACCGUGUACGUACAAGCAGUGGGAGCACCUUCGUGGUGUGACUGCGUACCUUUUGUAUAAUGGGUCAGCGACUUAUAUUCUGUAGCAAGGUUAACCGUAUAGGGGAGCCGAAGGGAAACCGAGUCUUAACUGGGCGUUAAGUUGCAGGGUAUAGACCCGAAACCCGGUGAUCUAGCCAUGGGCAGGUUGAAGGUUGGGUAACACUAACUGGAGGACCGAACCGACUAAUGUUGAAAAAUUAGCGGAUGACCUGUGGCUGGGGGUGAAAGGCCAAUCAAACCGGGAGAUAGCUGGUUCUCCCCGAAAGCUAUUUAGGUAGCGCCUCGUGAACUCAUCUUCGGGGGUAGAGCACUGUUUCGGCUAGGGGGCCAUCCCGGCUUACCAACCCGAUGCAAACUACGAAUACCGAAGAAUGUUAUCACGGGAGACACACGGCGGGUGCUAACGUCCGUCGUGAAGAGGGAAACAACCCAGACCGCCAGCUAAGGUCCCAAAGUCAUGGUUAAGUGGGAAACGAUGUGGGAAGGCCCAGACAGCCAGGAUGUUGGCUUAGAAGCAGCCAUCAUUUAAAGAAAGCGUAAUAGCUCACUGGUCGAGUCGGCCUGCGCGGAAGAUGUAACGGGGCUAAACCAUGCACCGAAGCUGCGGCAGCGACGCUUAUGCGUUGUUGGGUAGGGGAGCGUUCUGUAAGCCGUUGAAGGUGGCCUGUGAGGGUUGCUGGAGGUAUCAGAAGUGCGAAUGCUGACAUAAGUAACGAUAAAGCGGGUGAAAAGCCCGCUCGCCGGAAGACCAAGGGUUCCUGUCCAACGUUAAUCGGGGCAGGGUGAGUCGACCCCUAAGGCGAGGCCGAAAGGCGUAGUCGAUGGGAAACAGGUUAAUAUUCCUGUACUUGGUGUUACUGCGAAGGGGGGACGGAGAAGGCUAUGUUAGCCGGGCGACGGUUGUCCCGGUUUAAGCAUGUAGGCGGAGGUUCCAGGUAAAUCCGGUACCUUUUAACGCUGAGGUGUGAUGACGAGGCACUACGGUGCUGAAGUAACAAAUGCCCUGCUUCCAGGAAAAGCCUCUAAGCAUCAGGUAACACGAAAUCGUACCCCAAACCGACACAGGUGGUCAGGUAGAGAAUACCAAGGCGCUUGAGAGAACUCGGGUGAAGGAACUAGGCAAAAUGGUGCCGUAACUUCGGGAGAAGGCACGCUGAUAUGUAGGUGAAGCCCCUGCGGGUGGAGCUGAAAUCAGUCGAAGAUACCAGCUGGCUGCAACUGUUUAUUAAAAACACAGCACUGUGCAAACACGAAAGUGGACGUAUACGGUGUGACGCCUGCCCGGUGCCGGAAGGUUAAUUGAUGGGGUUAGCGGUAACGCGAAGCUCUUGAUCGAAGCCCCGGUAAACGGCGGCCGUAACUAUAACGGUCCUAAGGUAGCGAAAUUCCUUGUCGGGUAAGUUCCGACCUGCACGAAUGGCGUAAUGAUGGCCAGGCUGUCUCCACCCGAGACUCAGUGAAAUUGAACUCGCUGUGAAGAUGCAGUGUACCCGCGGCAAGACGGAAAGACCCCGUGAACCUUUACUAUAGCUUGACACUGAACACUGGUCCUUGAUGUGUAGGAUAGGUGGGAGGCUUUGAAGCGUGGACGCCAGUCUGCGUGGAGCCAUCCUUGAAAUACCACCCUUUAAUGGCUGGUGUUCUAACGUAGACCCGUAAUCCGGGUUGCGGACAGUGUCUGGUGGGUAGUUUGACUGGGGCGGUCUCCUCCCAAAGAGUAACGGAGGAGCACGAAGGUUAGCUAAUCCUGGUCGGACAUCAGGAGGUUAGUGCAAUGGCAUAAGCUAGCUUGACUGCGAGAGUGACGGCUCGAGCAGGUGCGAAAGCAGGUCAUAGUGAUCCGGUGGUUCUGAAUGGAAGGGCCAUCGCUCAACGGAUAAAAGGUACUCCGGGGAUAACAGGCUGAUACCGCCCAAGAGUUCAUAUCGACGGCGGUGUUUGGCACCUCGAUGUCGGCUCAUCACAUCCUGGGGCUGAAGUAGGUCCCAAGGGUAUGGCUGUUCGCCAUUUAAAGUGGUACGCGAGCUGGGUUUAGAACGUCGUGAGACAGUUCGGUCCCUAUCUGCCGUGGGCGCUGGAGAAUUGAGGGGGGCUGCUCCUAGUACGAGAGGACCGGAGUGGACGCAUCACUGGUGUUCGGGUUGUCAUGCCAAUGGCACUGCCCGGUAGCUAAAUGCGGAAGAGAUAAGUGCUGAAAGCAUCUAAGCACGAAACUUGCCCCGAGAUGAGUUCUCCCUGAGACUUAAAGUCUCCUGAAGGAACGUUGAAGACGACGACGUUGAUAGGUCGGGUGUGUAAGCGCAGCGAUGCGUUGAGCUAACCGAUACUAAUGAACCGUGAGGCUUAACCU